GACGAACGCUGGCGGCGUGCCUAAUACAUGCAAGUUGAGCGCUGAAGGUUGGUCCUUGUACCAACUGGAUGAGCAGCGAACGGGUGAGUAACGCGUGGGGAAUCUGCCUUUGAGCGGGGGACAACAUUUGGAAACGAAUGCUAAUACCGCAUAAAAACUUUAAACACAAGUUUUAAGUUUGAAAGAUGCAAUUGCAUCACUCAAAGAUGAUCCCGCGUUGUAUUAGCUAGUUGGUGAGGUAAAGGCUCACCAAGGCGAUGAUACAUAGCCGACCUGAGAGGGUGAUCGGCCAACUUGGGACUGAGACACGGCCCAAACUCCUACGGGAGGCAGCAGUAGGGAAUUUUCGGCAAUGGACGAAAGUCUGACCGAGCAACGCCGCGUGAGUGAAGAAGGUUUUCGGAUCGUAAAACUCUGUUGGUAGAGAAGAACGUUGGUGAGAGUGGAAAGCUCAUCAAGUGACGGUAACUACCCAGAAAGGGACGGCUAACUACGUG
RNAcentral lists this ribosomal RNA (497 nucleotides) under uncultured bacterium. Its description in RNAcentral is "partial 16S ribosomal RNA". It matches the Rfam family "Bacterial small subunit ribosomal RNA", at positions 28 to 507 of the family's 1533-position model. The record is from RNAcentral.